GACGAACGCUGGCGGCGUGCUUAACACAUGCAAGUCGAACGGAAAGGCCCUGCUUUUGUGGGGUGCUCGAGUGGCGAACGGGUGAGUAACACGUGAGUAACCUGCCCUUGACUUUUGGAUAACUUCAGGAAACUGGGGCUAAUACCGGAUAGGAGCUCCUGCUGCAUGGUGGGGGUUGGAAAGUUUCGGCGGUUGGGGAUGGACUCGCGGCUUAUCAGCUUGUUGGUGGGGUAGUGGCUUACCAAGGCUUUGACGGGUAGCCGGCCUGAGAGCGUGACCGGCCACAUUGGGACUGAGAUACGGCCCAGACUCCUACGGGAGGCAGCAGUGGGGAAUAUUGCACAAUGGGCGGAAGCCUGAUGCAGCAACGCCGCGUGCGGGAUGACGGCCUUCGGGUUGUAAACCGCUUUCGCCUGUGACGAAGCGUGAGUGACGGUAAUGGGUAAAGAAGCACCGGCUAACUACGUG
RNAcentral lists this ribosomal RNA (468 nucleotides) under uncultured bacterium. Its description in RNAcentral is "partial 16S ribosomal RNA". It matches the Rfam family "Bacterial small subunit ribosomal RNA", at positions 28 to 507 of the family's 1533-position model. The record is from RNAcentral.